GACGUAGGGGGCCAGCGUUGCUCGGAAUUACUGGGUGUAAAGGGUUCGUAGGCGGUGUGGCAAGUCGGGAGUGAAAUCCCCGGGCUUAACCUGGGAAUUGCGCUUGAAACUAGCGGGCUUGAGUGUGGCAGAGGGGGGUGGAAUUCCACGUGUAGCAGUGAAAUGCGUAGAGAUGUGGAGGAACACCGAUGGCGAAGGCAGCCCCCUGGGUCAACACUGACGCUCAUGCACGAAAGCGUGGGGAGCAAACAGG
Molecule: ribosomal RNA, 253 nt
Filed under: uncultured prokaryote
Description: partial 16S ribosomal RNA
Rfam family: Bacterial small subunit ribosomal RNA
Source: RNAcentral